GCCAGACUCCUACGGGAGGCAGCAGUGGGGAAUAUUGCACAAUGGGGGAAACCCUGAUGCAGCGACGCCGCGUGAGUGAAGAAGUAUUUCGGUAUGUAAAGCUCUAUCAGCAGGGAAGAAGUUGACGGUACCUGAGUAAGAAGCCCCGGCUAACUACGUGCCAGCAGCCGCGGUAAUACGUAGGGGGCAAGCGUUAUCCGGAUUUACUGGGUGUAAAGGGAGCGUAGACGGCAGUGCAAGUCAGAAGUGAAAGCCCGGGGCUCAACUCCGGGACUGCUUUUGAAACUGUGUAACUGGAGUGCAGGAGAGGUAAGCGGAAUUCCUAGUGUAGCGGUGAAAUGCGUAGAUAUUAGGAGGAACACCAGUGGCGAAGGCGGCUUACUGGACUGUAACUGACGUUGAGGCUCGAAAGCGUGGGGAGCAAACAGGAUUAGAUACCCGGGUAC
RNAcentral lists this ribosomal RNA (446 nucleotides) under uncultured bacterium. RNAcentral describes it as "bacterial SSU rRNA". It matches the Rfam family "Bacterial small subunit ribosomal RNA", at positions 330 to 793 of the family's 1533-position model. The record is from RNAcentral.